RNAcentral lists this long non-coding RNA (255 nucleotides) under Homo sapiens (human). RNAcentral describes it as "non-protein coding lnc-FBXL5-13:1". The record is from RNAcentral. Lineage: Eukaryota; Metazoa; Chordata; Mammalia; Primates; Hominidae.
CAGGAAGUGGCCUGUAGGCUGAUACUUGAAGAAUGGUUAGGAGUUAGGCAAUUGGGGUGGGAGGGAGGAAAUGAAGCUGAGACAAAGAAUAGCAAGGGCCAAAACCUAGAAACAAGAGACUGUAAGCUAUAGCAAAGGAAGUGGGGUAAUGCAUGUUUUAGGUCCUGUGUGGGGUGUUUGUGAAUACACAUGCGGGGUGUGGAGCGUGAUGAGAGACAAAGCUGAGAAGCCUCUGCUCUUGCUUACUAGGGCUGC